RNAcentral lists this ribosomal RNA (257 nucleotides) under uncultured bacterium. Its description in RNAcentral is "partial 16S ribosomal RNA". It matches the Rfam family "Bacterial small subunit ribosomal RNA", at positions 524 to 777 of the family's 1533-position model. The record is from RNAcentral.
UACGUAGGGGGCAAGCGUUGUCCGGAAUCAUUGGCGUAAAGAGCGCGUAGGCGGCCCGAUAAGUCCGCUGUGAAAGUCAAAGGGCUCAACCCUUGAAUGCCGGUGGAUACUGUCGGGCUAGAGUCCGGAAGAGGCGAGUGGAAUUCCUGGUGGUAGCGGUGAAAUGCGCAGAUAUCAGGAGGAACACCGGUGGCGAAGGCGGGUCUCUGGGCCGUAACUGACGCUGAGGAGCGAAAGCCAUGGGGGAGCGAACAGGG